RNAcentral lists this long non-coding RNA (792 nucleotides) under Ananas comosus (pineapple). RNAcentral's name for it is "long non-coding RNA (ACOM_LNC008922)". Lineage: Eukaryota; Viridiplantae; Streptophyta; Magnoliopsida; Poales; Bromeliaceae. The record is from RNAcentral.
AGAAAUCAAUUAAGGGCGUGUUUGUUUGGGUGGAAGAGAGAGGGGGAAGUUGUUUUCGCUAUAAAUGAUCACUUUCGUUGUUUGGUUCAUCAUAAAAAAGUUACGGUCGAAAAUUGAGUUAACUUGAAACGGCGUAAUUGACUUCGGCGUAAUUACAGUGAAGGGAGGUGAAAAAAAAUAAUAAAAUAAUAUACUAGGUAAAGAUAGCUAUAUUUAAAUAUAUUUAAUUAUGGUACUAAUUACUGUUUUAUUCAGUUGGCAUAUUUAAAAUAUGGAAAAAAAAAUUGAUUAGUUAAGUUUUAAUAUUUCUUUAUUUAGUUUGUAAUUUAAAAUAUGAUAAAAAUCGAUUAAUUAAAUAUUAAUAUUUUUUUCACUUUAUAAUUUUAUUGUUGUAUUACUAUAAUUUAUGCAUAAAAAAAUAAUUUAGUUGUUUUAAGUUAAAUUUUAAAUAUAUAAAAAUAUAAGGCCAAUUUACAUAAAAAAUCCACAAGUUUUGAGCUUUUGUAAAAUUAGACCGUCUUUUCCGAUUUGGCAGAUUUGGACUGAAUUUUCAACAAACUAACUAAAAUAUCUUUAUUCCUUUCUCCGUCUAUGUUUUUUUCCUUCGUUCUUUUUUUUCUCUCCAACUCUCAUCGCCUCCUCCACCGCCUCUGCAGCCCUCGGUGACGAUAACGAGGUCGUUAUCGUCGCCACAUCCUCUUUCUCCAUCUCCUCCUAUACCGGCGCCGGCGGCCCUCGGCGACGGUAACGAAGGCCGAGGGCAGCGCUGCCUCCUCCACCUUCGCUUCCAGC